GUGUCAGCAGCCGCGGUAAGACGUAGGGUGCAAGCGUUGUCCGGAUUUACUGGGCGUAAAGAGCGCGUAGGCGGUCUGUUAAGUGAGAAGUGAAAGCUCCGGGCUCAACUCGGAAAUGGCUUUUCAUACUGGCAGACUGGAGUGAUGCAGAGGUUUGUGGAAUUCCUGGUGUAGCGGUGAAAUGCGUUGAUAUCAGGAGGAACACCCAUGGCGAAGGCAGCAAACUGGGCAUCAACUGACGCUGAGGCGCGAAAGCGUGGGUAGCAAACAGGAUUAGAUACCCUGGUAGUCCACGCCCUAAACGAUGGAUACUAGGCGUUGGAGGUAUCGACCCCUCCAGUGCCGCAGCUAACGCACUAAGUAUCCCGCCUGGGGACUACGGCCGCAAGGUUGAA
This 395-nucleotide ribosomal RNA is filed under the name uncultured bacterium. RNAcentral describes it as "bacterial SSU rRNA". It matches the Rfam family "Bacterial small subunit ribosomal RNA", at positions 505 to 898 of the family's 1533-position model. The record is from RNAcentral.